Long non-coding RNA from Homo sapiens (human), 1011 nucleotides. Ensembl annotates it as septin 7 pseudogene 11. Its record names the gene SEPTIN7P11. The record is from Ensembl. NCBI's taxonomy places the organism in Eukaryota, Metazoa, Chordata, Mammalia, Primates, Hominidae.
GAACUCGCGGAGGGGCUGCUGGGGCUUCCAGGAGGGCGCAUGUGCGGAUGACUGGCCGCAGGCGGCCGGGCGGGCUGUAACCCGCCGCUGAACUAGCGCUUCUGUGUCCAGAGGCUUCGGCCUGGCCGCCGUCGCCUGUAAGCUACGAGGAGGAGAUUUACGACUUGGCCGGGCGCAGCAAAGGCCAGACUCUGCGCGAACAGGCGCUGCGCACCAACCGGCAGGCACCUGGCGGGCACCAUCGCACGGUGGCGCAGAAGCCCCUCAAUGGCCAGCGCCAGCUGCAGCCGCGGCCGCGCAGUCGUCCCACCUGAGCUUGGGCGAAUGUGGAUUGGGAAAGUCGACAUUAAUCAACUCAUUAUUCCUCAUAGAUUUGUAUUCUCCAGAGUAUCCAGGUCCUUCUCACAGAAUUAAAAAGACUGUACAGCUGGCAGCCUGUUAUCGAUUACAUUGAUAGUAAAUUUGAGGACUACCUAAAUGCAGAAUCAUGCGUGAACAGACAUCAGAUGCCUGAUAACAGGGUGCAGUGUUGUUCAUACUUCAUUGCUCCUUCAGGACAUGGACUUAAACCAUUGGAUAUUGAGUUUAUGAAGCGUUUGCAUGAAAAAGUGAGUAUCACCCCACUUAUUGCCAAAGCAGACACACUCACACCAGAGGAAUGCCAACAGUUUAAAAAACAGGUAACUUUUCCGGUCACACACAACAGACUGAUUUUCCUGUGGAAGACCUCACAGGAGUUCUCUUGAACCAGGAGACUAUUUUGAGCUGAAAUACCUGGAGCCCUCUCAAGCUAUUUGGGCCUUUCAAUUUGAAACCCAGGUUUGGAUGAUUCUAAGCUCUAUGGCAGAGACUGUAAUCAUUUUCUCUUCACCCUCAGGUUGGGGACUCACCCUCAGGGUUGGGAGUGACUGCUGUCUCUCCAGCCCCCACCAAUUACACCAUGUUCUGGUUGUUAAAAUCCAGUGUAUGCAUGAAAUGUAAUAAAAGUAUCUUCGCAGCACUAAGUAGAGA